AGAGCGAACGCUGGCGGCAGGCCUAACACAUGCAAGUCGAGCGCUCCGCAAGGGGAGCGGCAGACGGGAGAGUAACACGUGGGAACGUACCCUUCAGUUCGGAACAACCCAGGGAAACUUGGGCUAAUACCGAAUACGUCCGUAAGGAGAAAGAUUUAUCGCUGAAGGAUCGGCCCGCGUCUGAUUAGCUUGUUGGUGAGGUAACGGCUCACCAAGGCGACGAUCAGUAGCUGGUCUGAGAGGAUGAUCAGCCUCACUGGGACUGAGACACGGCCCAGACUCCUACGGGAGGCAGCAGUGGGGAAUAUUGGACAAUGGGCGCAAGCCUGAUCCAGCCAUGCCGCGUGGGUGAUGAAGGCCCUAGGGUUGUAAAGCCCUUUCGGCGGGGUAAGAUAAUGACGGUACCCGCAGAAGAAGCCCCGGCUAACUUCGCGCCAGCAGCCGC
RNAcentral lists this ribosomal RNA (445 nucleotides) under uncultured bacterium. RNAcentral's name for it is "SSU rRNA". It matches the Rfam family "Bacterial small subunit ribosomal RNA", at positions 26 to 518 of the family's 1533-position model. The record is from RNAcentral.